Molecule: ribosomal RNA, 770 nt
Filed under: Austrochloritis sp. AM C.575439
Lineage: Eukaryota; Metazoa; Mollusca; Gastropoda; Stylommatophora; Camaenidae
Description: partial large subunit ribosomal RNA
Source: RNAcentral
UUGAUUAUAAUAAACAAUAUUACUGAACACGAAGUUGAGGGAGCUAAUUAAUAUCUGCUUAUAGGAGAAAACAUGUUGCAUAAUUUAUUAAAUAUUAAUUAGGGGUGAAAGGCUUGUCACAAUCAACGAUAACUUGAUGGUUUAGAAAUGUACUAGUAUGUGGGCAAUCUUGAAGUGAUAAGGCUUUAAAAGGGAAUGAAUUUAUUUAAAUUAGAAAGAUGUCGUGUUUAAUCAUUAAUAUUAUUAAAAAAUAUUAUUUCUUUGUUACUUUUAUUUCUACUAUAAACCUAUGAGUAACUACUUAAAAAAUAGAUAAUGUUGAUAUUAGUAGUAAAGAGAUGUAAAUAAUGAACUCGGCAAAAAGCCUUUCAACUGUUUAUCAAAAACAUAGCUGUAUGAAUUAAUAUGCAGUAAUUUCUGCUCAAUGAACAAUUAAAUAGCCGCAGUACCCUGACUGUGCUAAGGUAGCGCAAUCAAUUGACUUUUAAAUGAAGUCCAGAAUGAACGAAAUUAUGGGGGGCUUCUUUUUCAUUGGCAAUUUUUGAAUUUUCUCAGUAAGUGCAAAUUCUUACAUAUAAAAAAUAGACGAGAAGACCCUAGAAAUUUUAAAAAACAAGUCUUUUUUGUUGGGGCAACAGAGUAGCAAAUAAUAAUCUACUAAAACUAACAUGCAAAAAAUAUUUUGAUAGAUCAAAUUACUCUAGGGAUAACAGCAUAAUUUAUGAACGUUUGUGACCUCGAUGUUGGAUUAGGGAAUUAACAUUUAGAAG